RNAcentral lists this transfer RNA (73 nucleotides) under Nanobdellota archaeon. RNAcentral's name for it is "tRNA-Tyr". It matches the Rfam family "tRNA". Rfam says of the family: Transfer RNA (tRNA) molecules are approximately 80 nucleotides in length. Their secondary structure includes four short double-helical elements and three loops (D, anti-codon, and T loops). Lineage: Archaea; Nanobdellati; Nanobdellota. The record is from RNAcentral.
CCCGCAGUAGCUCAAUCGGUAGAGCACUCGGCUGUAGACCGGGGUGUUGCUGGUUCAAGUCCGGCCUGCGGGA